CCUACGGGCGGCAGCAGUGGGGAAUAUUGGACAAUGGGGGCAACCCUGAUCCAGCCAUGCCGCGUGUGUGAAGAAGGCCCUCGGGUUGUAAAGCACUUUCAGUGAGGAAGAACGCCUGGUGGUUAAUACCCAUCAGGAAAGACAUCACUCACAGAAGAAGCACCGGCUAACUCCGUGCCAGCAGCCGCGGUAAUACGGAGGGUGCGAGCGUUAAUCGGAAUUACUGGGCGUAAAGCGCGCGUAGGUGGCUUGAUAAGCCGGUUGUGAAAGCCCCGGGCCCAACCUGGGAACGGCAUCCGGUACUGUCAAGCUAGAGUGCAGGAGAGGAAGGUAGAAUUCCCGGUGUAGCGGUGAAAUGCGUAGAGAUCGGGAGGAAUACCAGUGGCGAAGGCGGCCUUCUGGACUGACACUGACGCUGAGGUGCGAAAGCGUGGGUAGCAAACAGGAUUAGAUACCCUUGUAGUC
This 465-nucleotide ribosomal RNA is filed under the name Vreelandella stevensii. RNAcentral describes it as "partial 16S ribosomal RNA". It matches the Rfam family "Bacterial small subunit ribosomal RNA", at positions 338 to 795 of the family's 1533-position model. Lineage: Bacteria; Pseudomonadati; Pseudomonadota; Gammaproteobacteria; Oceanospirillales; Halomonadaceae. The record is from RNAcentral.